Long non-coding RNA from Athalia rosae (coleseed sawfly), 1639 nucleotides. RefSeq lists it as uncharacterized. The record is from RefSeq and is a predicted model, not a curated record. NCBI's taxonomy places the organism in Eukaryota, Metazoa, Arthropoda, Insecta, Hymenoptera, Athaliidae. The transcript has 2 exons.
UUUUCUUCUUCUUCUUCCUCUUCUUCCUCUUCUUCCUCUUCGUCUAAUUAGAGUUAAUUAGAAUUAUUAUUCGAGGGUAUCCGCGAUGGCUGCCCUCCUAUCGUUUUUUCCUUACCUCGUACCCUCUCUCUAAAUCGUUCCCCCCUUCUAUUCCACUUCGUUAUUACUUCUCUUUUCCUCUUCUUUCCCUCGUAUAACACCUAUUCGAGAACCACCAUUGGCCGGUUGGAUCGUUUAGCGUGUCCUGGGCACACCUUCCUCCCGUCCGUUUCUCCAGCCCUUCGUUUUCUCGUGGUGCUCGAUCAUUGGCUAAACUGAUGUUGAUCUACCUGUGGCCUUUUUCCAACUUCAAAGCCGCUACCUGACUCUUGAAAAUUUAGUAUACGCCUCCAUACAUCAUGCAGCUACCUGUUACCAGCUCUUUUUUUCCAUACCUGUCCAAGCGACGCCUCUCUUUGGAUUUUAAAAUGCACCACACCGCGGUUGAUGGCCUGCAUGACGCUUUUUACCUGCCCAUUACACACGUCGUUCACAUUUUAUUUCAAUCUCAUCAGCAGAAUUACGUGUGCAGUCGUUUUAUAUUUAUAUCCACGUUCAAAGCUCGAUCCACGGGAGCUGUAUCAUUUUUUUCAAUUUUUCGUUUUUCUAGUUUAACUGUACACGCGUUAUACGGAUCGACUAUAAUUAUUAACUUUAUAUUUCACCUCUGAUCCCAUGGUGCGAAUUUCGUCUCAUAUAACUCGAGAAGGCGGAGCUUAAAUUAUAUUACAGGUAGCUGAGAUCCGAACGCUGAGAAAUUUACGUGAGGAUGGCGGAAUGUAUUCGUACAUCAGCUCCUGUAUACACCUUGGAUAUAAGAAUUGCGGUAGCAACGCGUUUUAUGAUCAACCGGGUGCGGCUCGACGUCCUUUUUCAAGAUUCCCAGCCAGCUCUUUAAAGAUUUAUAAUUCACUCAUCGCACAUAUUCAGAGGGAUCAGAUACACAUUCUCAGGGAAAGUGGUGCGCUUUAGCAUUUUACAACUCUUGGAAGUCCAGCGGCACAAGGGGCAACCCUUGGAUAACGCGUGGGCGAUGGCGACGGCGGCGACUGCAGCUUCAGCAGCAUUUUAUAUGUACGUAAGAUGGUUUCUUCUGCACCGGCCUUUUCCCUCUUCUACUAAUUUUUUUUUUUUUUUUUUCUACCUUUUCUUUAUUCCAUUUUAUUAUGUUUGAGGGAUACCGCCACUUGUUUGCCGUCAAAGUAACGUUACAGCUAUACCUGUACGACCGCGCAGAGAUGCAACGUAAUAAUCAUAACUCUAAUACCGAUGGUUCUAUACAACUCACGAAUUUAUGCACUCUGGUGGUCCUCAUUCUCAUGCCUACCUGCUUCCGGACAUAUCUAAAAAGCAACAGGUUGUCGAUUCAUUUUGCAUUUCUUGAAAUUUUCCUACCAGAUGCUCGCUAAAUGUAUCCGCUAUUCUUGCAGGUGUAUUUAUCUGAGGUCAUAUCCUCCAUCAUCUUUGAAAAUUUCUAGUUCGAUAAGUAACUCGCGUCACGAUGUACACAACAUUCACGUAUAUAUUUAUGAAAUCGUUUUAAUUAUUAAUCUGCAACAUUAUGAGAAUAUGCGAUAGAAGCUGCGGUUGAAUUGAAAGA